Molecule: ribosomal RNA, 2010 nt
Filed under: Dicauda atherinoidi
Lineage: Eukaryota; Metazoa; Cnidaria; Myxozoa; Bivalvulida; Myxobolidae
Description: SSU rRNA
Rfam family: Eukaryotic small subunit ribosomal RNA
Source: RNAcentral
AGCUAUUCUCGAAGAUUAAGCCAUGUAUGUGCCAAGUUCAAACGUUAAACGUGAGACUGCGGACGGCUCAGUAAAUCAGUGAUAAUCUAUUUGAUUUUCUCUCCCAUUGGAUAACCGUGGGAAAUCUAGAGCUAAUACGUGCGGUACAUUGGUGUCCUUCGGGUACAUCAAAGCAUUUAUUAGACUAAACCAACUAUUAUGCUCUUGCAUAGUAAGGGGAAUCUAGAUAACUUUGCUGAUCGUAUAGCCUAGUGCUGGCGACGUUUCAAUUGAGUUUCUGCCCUAUCAACUUGUUGGUAAGGUAUUGGCUUACCAAGGUUGCAACGGGUAACGGGGAAUCAGGGUUCGAUUCCGGAGAGGGAGCCUGAGAAACGGCUACCACAUCCAAGGAAGGCAACAGGCGCGCAAAUUACCCAAUCUAGACAGUAGGAGGUGGUGAAGAGAAUUACUAAAUGGUGGUCCAUUGGAUCACUUGUUUGGAAUGAACGUAACUUAAGAAAUUCGUUGAGAAACAACUGGAGGGCAAGUCCUGGUGCCAGCAGCCGCGGUAAUUCCAGCUCCAGUAGUUUGCUUUAAAGUUGUUGCGUUUAAAACGCUCGUAGUUGGAUCACGAAGUGACUUUCAGUAAUCUCUUGUCGACGUUGACUUUAGCUUUCGUCUCGUACGAUCUAUUGGCGCGUUGACAUUGGAUAAUACGCUGGAAGUUACUAGUUGCACGUGAGAUAGGAUGUUGGCCUUGAAUGAGCCGGUAUUCUGGUCUUGCGGGGUGUGCCUUGAAUAAAACAGAGUGCUUAAAGCAGGUUAUUGCCUGAAUGUUAUAGCAUGGAACGAACAAUAGUGUAUAUGUGUGCGUCUUUGGAUCAUUGUGAGCCUUUGGUUUGCAGUGGUUCAUGAUGCGCACGGCACCCACCAAAAUAUGGCUGUUGGUUCCAUAUACGGUGAUGAUUAACAGGAGCGGUUGGGGACAUUAGUAUUUGGUCGCGAGAGGUGAAAUUCUUAGACCGACCAAGGACUAACAAAUGCAAAGGCAUUUGUCUAGACCGUAUCUAUUAAUCAAGAACGAAAGUGGGAGGUUCGAAGACGAUCAGAUACCGUCAUAGUUCCCACCGUAAACUAUGCCGACCUGCGAUAAGUUUAGAGAUGUUACAAGCUCUAGAUUUGUCGCUCUGGGAAACCUAAAGUUUUUCGGUUACGGGGAGAGUAUGGUCGCAAGGCUGAAACUUAAAGGAAUUGACGGAAGGGCACCACCAGGGGUGGAGCCUGCGGCUUAAUUUGACUCAACACGGGGAAACUUACCUGGUCCGGACAUCGAUAGGAUUAACAGAUCAAUAGCUCUUUUAUGAUCCGAUGAGUGGUGGUGCAUGGCCGUUCUUAGUUCGUGGAGUGAUCUGUCAGCCUAAUCGCGGUAACGAACGAGACCACAGUCUCUAUUUAAGAGAUGAAAGCAGUCGUGUAAUCACUAAUGCCUUAUGGGUUGCAGUGGUUACAUGACGUCGGUAGAGUGAUGUGCUGCAUGGACGAGUGCAGAAAGGUUACGAUUUGCAUUCCCUGUGUAGUGUGUUGCUUCUCCCUUUUAUCGCGCAACAGUUGGUUUCGAUUAGCUGUUGUCUUAUGGAGAGACAACGAGGUAUAUACAAGCUCGAGGAAGAGUGGCUAUAACAGGUCAGUGAUGCCCUUCGAUGUUCAGGGCUGCACGCGCGCUACAAUGAUAACGACAGCGAGUGUCUGCGUCGAAAGACGUGGGUAAUCUUUAAUCGUUAUCGUGAUGGGGAUUGACCGUUGUAAUUGUCGGUCAUGAAAGAGGAAUCCCUAGUAUGCGCAUUUUAUUAGAAUGUGCAGAUUGAGUCCCUGCCCUUUGUACACACCGCCCGUCGCUACUACCGAGUGAAUGGUGUCAUGAUGCGUUGGGAUUGUGCAUUAGAUGGGUCUCACGACUCGUCCGAUGCUGAGAUCAGCGUAAAAUGGCGCAAUUUCGAGGAAGUAAAAGUCGUAACAAGGUUUCCGUAGGUG